AGAAAAAGGACACGGGGCGGGGGUAACUUGGUGAACGAGAAGGAAAAAGAGUUUAUGCAGACUUGAAAUGUGCUGAGUAUGUGGACUGUAUCUUAGAUUGUCAACUGGAGGAUCUGGGACAUUAUUAGAGACAGUGAGUGACCAGUUAGAUGGUACAACAGAGCCGGCUCCCCUGGACCUUCCAGCUCCCCCGGACCUUCCCGCUCACCCUAUGCUUGUACCUGUUCCUGAGGAUUUGUGACUACUUGGCCAUCAGAGGGCUACUGAGACUCUUUUGCCAUUUCUUUGGACACACGGAGGAGGUAGACUUCAGUCUCUGACUGCGAACUAUUAAGUAAGUCAAACCAAAUCAGGUGCACCACCCUCACCUGUCUCGUGGGUGGAGGUCUUCCUGACUAGUUGGCCAGC
Molecule: long non-coding RNA, 408 nt
Organism: Monopterus albus (swamp eel)
Lineage: Eukaryota; Metazoa; Chordata; Actinopteri; Synbranchiformes; Synbranchidae
Exons: 3
Source: RefSeq, a predicted model, not a curated record